Molecule: ribosomal RNA, 316 nt
Filed under: uncultured eukaryote
Lineage: Eukaryota
Description: partial 18S ribosomal RNA
Rfam family: Eukaryotic small subunit ribosomal RNA
Source: RNAcentral
CCCCUAGAUGUUCUGGGCCGCACGCGCGCUACACUGAACAGUUCAACAAGUCUUAACCUUGGCCGAUAGGUCUGGGUAAUCUUUGAACGCUGUUCGUGAUUGGGAUAGACCUUUGCAAUUAUGGGUCUUCAACGAGGAAUUCCUAGUAAACGCAAGUCAUCAGCUUGCAUUGAUUACGUCCCUGCCCUUUGUACACACCGCCCGUCGCACCUACCGAUUGAAUGGUCCGGUGAAGCCUCCGGAUUGGCGUGCACCCUCGGGUGCUGCCGAGAAGUUGGCUAAACCUUACCAUUUAGAGGAAGGUGAAGUCGUAACA